Molecule: non-coding RNA, 206 nt
Organism: Pelobates cultripes (western spadefoot toad)
Lineage: Eukaryota; Metazoa; Chordata; Amphibia; Anura; Pelobatidae
Source: the annotation of a GenBank genome assembly
ACUCUUCAAAUCAAUGUUUGGUUUCACUUAGCCACUAAAUGUAAGAUUUGAUUAUCUUCAAUUUUGUCUCAGUUACGAGUCUGGACCAGAGGGGCAGCUGGAAGAUGGCUAGAGACUCAUCUUGUUCUUGCGCUCUCUCUUCUGUCCUCAUUCAAAUACAAAUUCACAUGAGUUGUGCUGGCAUAGCAAGUUCCAUUUGACAUUGG